This 773-nucleotide ribosomal RNA is filed under the name uncultured bacterium. Its description in RNAcentral is "bacterial SSU rRNA". It matches the Rfam family "Bacterial small subunit ribosomal RNA", at positions 8 to 798 of the family's 1533-position model. The record is from RNAcentral.
AGAGUUUGAUCCUGGCUCAGGACGAACGCUGGCGGCGUGCUUAACACAUGCAAGUCGAACGGAAAGGCCCUUCGGGGUACUCGAGUGGCGAACGGGUGAGUAACACGUGGGUGAUCUGCCCUGCACUUUGGGAUAAGCCUGGGAAACUGGGUCUAAUACCGAAUAGGACCGCGCGCUUCAUGGUGUGUGGUGGAAAGCUUUUGCGGUGUGGGAUGGGCCCGCGGCCUGUCAGCUUGUUGGUGGGGUAAUGGCCUACCAAGGCGACGACGGGUAACCGGCCUGAGAGGGUGACCGGCCACACUGGGACUGAGAUACGGCCCAGACUCCUACGGGAGGCAGCAGUGGGGAAUAUUGCACAAUGGGCGCAAGCCUGAUGCAGCGACGCCGCGUGAGGGAUGACGGCCUUCGGGUUGUAAACCUCUUUCACCAGGGACGAAGCGCAAGUGACGGUACCUGGAGAAGAAGCACCGGCCAACUACGUGCCAGCAGCCGCGGUAAUACGUAGGGUGCGAGCGUUGUCCGGAAUUACUGGGCGUAAAGAGCUCGUAGGUGGUUUGUCGCGUUGUUCGUGAAAACUCACAGCUUAACUGUGGGCGUGCGGGCGAUACGGGCAGACUAGAGUACUGCAGGGGAGACUGGAAUUCCUGGUGUAGCGGUGGAAUGCGCAGAUAUCAGGAGGAACACCGGUGGCGAAGGCGGGUCUCUGGGCAGUAACUGACGCUGAGGAGCGAAAGCGUGGGGAGCGAACAGGAUUAGAUACCCUGGUAGUCCAA